RNAcentral lists this ribosomal RNA (482 nucleotides) under uncultured bacterium. Its description in RNAcentral is "bacterial SSU rRNA". It matches the Rfam family "Bacterial small subunit ribosomal RNA", at positions 501 to 982 of the family's 1533-position model. The record is from RNAcentral.
CUACGUGCCAGCAGCCGCGGUAAUACGUAGGUCCCGAGCGUUGUCCGGAUUUAUUGGGCGUAAAGCGAGCGCAGGCGGUUAGAUAAGUCUGAAGUUAAAGGCUGUGGCUUAACCAUAGUACGCUUUGGAAACUGUUUAACUUGAGUGCAAGAGGGGAGAGUGGAAUUCCAUGUGUAGCGGUGAAAUGCGUAGAUAUAUGGAGGAACACCGGUGGCGAAAGCGGCUCUCUGGCUUGUAACUGACGCUGAGGCUCGAAAGCGUGGGGAGCAAACAGGAUUAGAUACCCUGGUAGUCCACGCCGUAAACGAUGAGUGCUAGGUGUUAGACCCUUUCCGGGGUUUAGUGCCGCAGCUAACGCAUUAAGCACUCCGCCUGGGGAGUACGACCGCAAGGUUGAAACUCAAAGGAAUUGACGGGGGCCCGCACAAGCGGUGGAGUAUGUGGUUUAAUUCGACGCAACGCGAAGAACCUUACCAGGUCUU